Molecule: long non-coding RNA, 10760 nt
Filed under: Medicago truncatula (barrel medic)
Lineage: Eukaryota; Viridiplantae; Streptophyta; Magnoliopsida; Fabales; Fabaceae
Description: long non-coding RNA (MTRU_LNC002567)
Source: RNAcentral
AAAGAUUUGGAGAAAGAUUUACCGGUCAAGUAAGUUUUUUUUACUGGGUUUUCAUCUAGCUUCAAACUUUCUCUAGUUAGUAGCUCAUGGUCAUGGUUUUGUUGGGUUUAUUGAUUGAUUGUUUUUUGUUUAUAAAAACUUGGAUUAUUGAUUUUUUUUAUUUUUUAUUUUUUAAUAAUUAUUACUAAUUUUAGCAUCUAGGUUCAAGAACUACGAAAUAAAGCACAGUAUAUGAUUUUGUUUUGCCGGAUUUGAUGAUUUAUGAAUUUACUGUCUUACCGCUGAGUUUUUUUACCUGUUACUUAAAUAGAAACCGAUGAUAAGGUUCUAUCUUUGUUUAAUCAAAGAGAAAUCAUCACAUGUUAUUGUCCUGUGUGUGUCCAUUACGGAAAAAAGCAUUUAAGUUUUUUUUUUUUUUUUUAGAGAAAAGGAGCAUCUAAGGUUCUUAUUUUUCUUAAUGAAUGGCAUUAAAGAAGUCCUAGCUUAACGGAUAAAAAAAUAUGAAAUUAUUAGAUUGGACUUUCGGAUUAGGGUUUGAAUUUCGAUUGAGUUUUUAAUGGCUAUUGUCAUUUUAUCUAUUAUAAAAACAUUAAAGAAAUAUCCCAUCAAGUUGUGUAAUCUUUCAAUUAAGCUUCAUGUUUGGAAUAUUUUUUUGUCUCCAAUUAUUUUUCAAUGAUAUCCUCAUCUAAUUAAAUAAUUCAUAUAACUAAUUCACUACAACUACUCUAAUCAAUAUUAGCAUUUUCAAUAGACAUCAGUAAAAAAAGUGCAUUAGCUUAAACUACUCUAAUUAAUUUUGUUUUGCUCAAGAUAAUGUGUUUAAUGCUUGCUCACCAUUCAUUAUUCUAAUGAUCUGCUUUUUCUGGUUGGGGCCUGAGGGUAAGUGGAUUUUAGAAUAUAUCUUGUUCCGAUUAUUUAACUGAGUAUUAGUGUAAUAGAUGGGAAUAAUAAUAGAUCUCCACCAUCCAAAUAAAGUGCUGGGGUGAGUUGACAUUGUUAGAGCAUCUUUAAUAAUGUUUGAGCACCUCGUUAAUAAUUUUAGGGACUCACAAGACAUUAUUCAAUAUAAUGAUGCAUUUGUAGAAUAGAUAAUUAAACUUUACAACAUUAUUAUGAAUUUGCUUCUAAGUAGGGGUGACAAAUUUAGGACAGCUUGCAAGUGGACCAACCUCAUAAAUUUUAGAUUAGAUCAAAAUAGUAAAUGGAUGACAAAUCAACCAUAAAGACAAGUAGGAAUAGAUAUGAAGGAUGGAUAUACAACUUGCACAUUAAUAUUUUUGAUAUAUAUAUAUAUAUAUAUAUAUCAAAAACUAUAUCAAAAAAUUGCCCUUCUAACAAUAUAUAUAUAUAUAUAUAUAUAUAUAUAUAGUAUAUAUCAAAAAUAUCAAACAAGCUAGGCCUCCCUCAAGGAUGGGCCUCAAAUUUUUUUUUUGGAAAUGGAUCCACUCCUGCCAUAUUCUCUCCUGCGCGGUUCUCAACCAUUUGAUUAAUCUAACGGUAGUGUGUUAAUUAGAGGAGAGAGAAACCUGAAUCCACUUCAUUUUCUUCAAUUUUACAGAAUAACCAUGAAUUUUACAGAAUAACAUCAUCCUCUCCUGAGAAUGUUGUAUGAGCAUUGAAGAAAUUUAGUUUUUAUAAUUUGUUGAGCCAAUUAAAAACUAUAAUAUAACAUAAAACAAAGUUGUAAUUAGGAUUUUGUUCCAGUUUCAAAAGACAAAUACAUGAGAUCCAUCUUUAAUCUUCAUCGCUGUCAACAAGAACAUCAAUUUCAGCCACCCAGAUACAAACAUACAGAAUCUACCUUCAUCUCUAUCAGCAAAAACUUGAAAAACACAAUUUCAAAUUGCAACAUUUUCCCUAUUCACAAAAUCUGAAAAGGAAAAUAAGCACUUGUAAGAAAGCAUAUAUAGAUAGAACAUUUUCACCUCUGGGUGUAUCGCAUAUAUACGGCACCUUGUAUUUAUCUUUUUAAAAAAAAUAUAAAUAGAACAUUGCUCUUUUAAAAAAAAUACGUUUUGAUUUUAUCAUCGGCCUCUUUUCAUUCCCAGAGCCGAGUCUCCGAAUUUUCAAGGAUGGCCUUAUGUAGGUUGCUAACUUGCACCUUAAUAAUUUUAGGUGGGUGUAACUUGCUAACUUGCAUCUUAGUGUUUUUAGAUGGGUGUAAGUUAGCAGCCCCUUUUAAAAACAAACUCAUAAAUAACUAAGGUUUCUUAAUCAGAAGUAGUCAAAAUUACCUUUAUCCAAAGGUUACUACUACUCCAAAGUAUAAAACUUUGGAAAGGAUCUCCAUCUUGACAUUUUGUUUAUUACAUACAAAUCCUUCUUCUCCUUUUCUAUUUCUAUGAAGUAAAUGCAUGUAGCCUCUUUGUGUCCAAAUAUAUUGCAUUCUUUAUUCUAUUUUUUUAUAUUACACUUCAUACUUUAUUUCUGUUCUAUGGAUAUCCAAUAAAUAUGAGAAGUUUGAGAAUUGAAGAGGUCCACACGUCGGUGUUGGUUGGUUGCCAGAUGGAUUUGUCAUUUGUGUUGGAUUCAAUUAACAGAAAUAAAUUCAUGGGUUAAUAGGUCUUUACUCCCUGUAAUAUAGGUCAUUUCCGGUUUUCCCUCUGUAAAAUUGUAUUUUUGAUUUACCCGUGUAAAAUAUUUUUGUUUUGAUUUACCUCCCUAAUAGGCCAAACAAAAACGAAAUUUUUUUUUAAAAAAAAAAUUGGUUUUUGUUUGGCCUAUUAGGGGGUAAAAAAAAAAAUUACAGGGGAAAAACCAGAAAUGAACUAUAUUCAGAGGGUAAAAAUCUAUUAACCCUAAAUUCAUUAUAUUUAAGUGUCCAGUGAAGAGUUUUUUUUCCCUACUUUCUGAGAGACAAAAAUUUAUUUUGACAAUAAUAAAUUAUAUUAGUAGUAGUUAACAGUGAGUUGGAUGUAGAUUAAUUUAGGUUUGAAUAUUAUUUAAGUUAAGGAUAUCCAAACAUGUUAAAGUCAAUUUCAUGCUUCUAAAAUUACUUAGUGCUAUCAUAACAUUGAAUGCAAAAGUUUUCUUACAAAUUUUACUUUGGAAAAAAGGGUUAGUAUACAUGUGCUAAUGCUAUGAUGAACGUGUUCAUCUUGAUUCAGUAGUUGAAUCUGAAUUUACAAGAUGAACUACCAACAUACUGAAGACUAUAUAUCUAUCUCAACUACAAUGAUUGGAUGCUGUGAUCACUUCAAUUCAGAUGUAGUUUUAUCAACUUAUGUAAUGUUGUUGUGUGAUUCAGGAAAAGCAUAUCCAACUUUUAUAUUGGAAAAUCAAAAUCAUUCACAGACUUAGCAGAUGCAGCAGGUGCGACUUGUUUGCAAGAGAUAGUAAAAGCAGAAGACCCUUAUGCUAAAAAACGCAAGGAUUCACUAGCCCGUAACUUACUGAUAGGGAGGAGCCGCAGUUAUGCAAAUGUUGGUGGAAUAACAAACUCAAAGAGAACUUCAAGCUUAGGUCGACGAACAUCUUGUCUGAAUCUGAACAGCAAUGCUGACAGUGGUGAUGAGGGGAAGAGUUCCGCUUCUAGAUCAAUAUCUCCUCCUUGUCCACUUCCUCCCCUUCAUUCACGACCUAAUAGGUUAUCGGCAACUACUUCACUUCCUCGUCCUCCCGCACAAAAUCAUCCUUUGCGCUCAUACUCCUGGUCUGAUCUCAACUCUGUAGCUGAGGGUCAUGAUAUAACUGGUUUGGCCAUUUGUAGCGGAAACAAAGACAAUAAAGUACACUGAUUUUUUUACAUGAAUUGAACAUUUAGCAAGUGAGUUUAUGAGUUUGUUUUGUAACGGAGAAUGUUAUCUAUGUGUGAACUCGUCUUAAACCUACCGAGUAGUGUUGUAUAUUAUGACUCUGGAAAACCUACUUAUUAGCAUAGACAAUUGUUGUCAAUUUUGAAAUUGGUUUGAUUGUUAUUCAAAGAUAUCACACAUUCAAAACACGAACAAAAUCAAAGAAGCGAUUGGUUGCAGCUGUAUAGUUUCCUUCUGGGCCGCCAUCUUCUACUGUAAGAAAAUGAACACCGUUGGUAAGUAUUCAAUUUUCGAUGAAGUUGGCCGAUGCCUUAAAUAAUGUUUUUGUUUAGAAAUGAUUAUUUAGUGAUGAAUUCUUGGAGGUUGAAUCCUUCAUUGCUCGUUGAUUUCUUUCUUACCGGCUUCAAUGGAAUGCGUACACAUGCUGCUAUGAUGCCAAGUAAGAUAGUUUUGUGAGGGGUUUUCAAUAAUAUACGGGAAGUUACCAUACAUACGGCGGUUUACCCCUAUUUAUAGAAAUGUUAUUUUCACUUAUAGAUAUGGUAUUUUCAGUUCAACGAACUUAUUUUAGGAGCAGGAGUAGAAUUUAGGCCUCUAAUUGAAGGCUACAAGAUGAAUUGUACUCAGUGUUCUGUGGUCUAUCCCAUCCCAUACAAAUAAUAGAAAGUUUCCACAAAUCGAGUGUUAACACGUAAACUCGUUCGAGUUUACGUUUUUAGGUGGCAAAAACGUGUUAACUCGGAGGUAAACUCGGUUUUUGGUGAAAUCGAAAAGUUUGACGAGUUUGACCGAGUUAACACGUGUUAAAUUCGGUAAACUCGUGUAAACUUGUCCGAGUUUACCUUUGAAUUUUUUUUUGUCUCAUUUUCUUUCAAAAUCCAAUUUUUUUUUUAAUCCCAAUGGGUGAGAAUGACAUACAUUGAAUUUUAGGGAAUGCAUUCAGAAGCUUGUUAUUAUUGAUUGUUUUGAAAUCAUUCAAAUAUAUUACUUGUUCAAGUAUUUAAAUGAGAAAAUGGAACAAUUGAAGUUAAAGUUACAACUAAAGAUGAAAAAGAGUUUAAAUGUACUAAUAAAUUUUGUUUUUUAUUGUUAGAGUUUAUUAUUUAAAUGUGGUUAAUUGGUUUACAUAUGCUAUAUAUAUAAUAAAUUUUAUAUAAUUUUAAUUUUAGGUAAUUUUAGGUAAACUCGUACGAGUUUACGUAGCUAAAACGAGUUGAGGUAAACUCUCGAGUUAUAAAACCUUGGUUUUUCCAUUAUUGUGUUCUAUCAUAUAUCCAAUUAAACGCGAGUGCAGGUGGUUUGAUUUGCUGAAAGGAAGCUGCCCAACUUCUUCUUUCAUCAUCACAUUAUUCCCUCAACCUAUGUGUAUAUUUAUAGUGUACGUUGAUUGGUAUUUACAAUGUAGGAUGAGUUUCAAUGGCAUAUCUUGAAUGGUUUAGACUUGUAUGGGCAUCCAUAAAAAAGACUUUUGAGUAAUUAAAUAAAUCGUAUACACAUCAUUUAUUUAUAAUUUUUUAAUAAUACAGUAGCUGACAAGCACUUAACGACUGAUUCAACACUUCUAACAAAAUUUAAAUUGCUCCCACCUAUAACUUUUCAUCGUUACAUACUUAUAUUCAUAAAAAUAUGUGUUCAAUUUAACUUACAUUUAGUGCAAAUGAUUGUCUCAAGUCAAUAUUAACUUGAUGCUAGAUUCGUUUAGUCAGACAUAGUUUUGACUCUUGCAAACGACGAGUACAUACACUUUUUAUGUUACAUUCAGCGCUACCUAUAAAGAUGAUUUUUUGAGAUCAUCUGACUAAAUCAUUUGAAAGACUCAUUCCAAUACGCAUGAAUUCGAUUCUUGUAAUGAUUAUUUUAAUUAAGUGAAAACGGACACAAAUGAUUGCCUAGAGUCGAUUUUAAUUUGAAGCAUGUGCAAGAUUUAUUUAGGGUGUGUUUGUUUCAAGUUUACCAAAUUUAUUCCUAGGAAUAACAUUCCUUCGUACGUAAAGAUGAGAAUUUUAUUCCAAGGUAUAUAGAAAAAAGAUGUUUGUUUAACAUUAUAAUAUUUCUGAGAACCAUAAAAAUAAGGAUUAUAAUGUAAUUACAUAUGAAAUUAUUUCCAUCUUCAUGGGAACUUUAUUCCCACCCUUUUUCUUUGGGAAACAUUUUCUAUUCCCAGGAACGUUUUAUACUCAAGAAUAAAAUUUAGCAAACUUGUAACAAACAUAGGCAUGCAUAUUUCUAUCUUUUUAUUCCCAGAAAUUUACGAAUAUAACUUGAAACAAACACACCCUUGGUCAUAAACGACAAAUAUAUACAUCUUUUAUGUUACUUAUGUUCAAACAUACGACUAAAAAUGUUUGUUUUAAUAUCAUAUGACCGAAGCAGACUGAUUCAAUUACGUAUGGAUUCGAUUCUCGUGAUAAUUGUAUUAAUUAAGUGUAACUAAUAAGUGUAAUUAUGUAUGGGUUGGCUUACUGGGAAUGGUUUGAGAUUUGGGAGUGUGCUCCUCCUCAAGGUUUCAGGUUCAUUUCUCUCUGGUGCCAAUUUGGAUGGACUAAUUUAACUUCUUAAAAAAAAUAAAAAAAUUAAGUGUAACUAAUAUUUUUUAGAAUCAUAAAUCAUGUUAUUAUUUCAAAUUCUUAAAAUCUUAAAUAUAUACUAAAAUAUAGAUUUACUACUUCAAAAUCCUCCCCUCCAAAUAAAAUCUACGCAAUAUCCUAAAUUUUUUAUUUUCCUCGUAAAAAUACAUAAUUAGGGAGAGAAGCCAUAUUUGUUGAUACAGGCCCGCUUGUUAAAUAUAUUAUUAAAAAAACUUAAUUUUUAUGUUUUAAUAUAUCUGUGUGUAAGCUUUUUCAAAAUGAUUUUUAAACUAAAAUCGGAAAAACUAUUUAAAUAUUGAAGAAAACUAUUUACCAAAGAGUGAAAUGCAAAAUAUAUUUUUAAAAUUGUAAUCAAACACAACAUAGUUUUUGUUUUUCCUUAAAAACUCAAUAAAAAAUCUCUAAAUUGUUAAUAUCAAAAUAACUUUUAUUUUAAUCAAUAACAAACGACCCUUUAUCAACCUCAAUAACUAUUUUACCAGUGAAAAAUAUAUUUUAAUUUUUUCGAAAGUAUAUCUUAAAAAUAUUCAAGAUAAUUAUUUUCUAUUAAAAAAAAGUAAUGUCCACCAGAGCAUCAAAUAAAGUUAAUUAUUUAUAAAUUAAAAAAAAAACUCAAAUAUGUUAUAAAUAACAUUAUUAUUCUGUAAUUUUUUUUUUAUUAUAUUCAUUUUUUGUGAAGUAGUUUAGUGGCUAUAAUUAUACCCCUUAAACUAAAUAAACGGUGAAUUCAAGGUUCAAACUUCAGCUUAGGGGUGCCAAAAAUACUUAUGUCCGCGGGUAAAAUCUGUCAUGGGCACGGGGCGGGUAACUAAACGAGUAUAAUAAACGGGUAUUUUACUACCUAUUAUUUUAAGGAUAUGGACACGGAUUUGAUGAUACCCGUGUCCACGGAUACUCAUACCCAAUAAUAAAUUAAAUAAAUUACUAUAUUAUCCUUGUGUGUGUGUAAGAGUUUGAGAUCUCAAAAAACCCUAGUUUAAUAUUGUACGGCUGUACGACAUCUUUUCUCUUAUGUCACAACUUUUUCUUCCUCUUCCCUUUUGGUGCACCCUAGUUUUCUUCUUCUCAUUCUUUUUUUUCCUUCUUCUUAGCAUGAUUAUUUGUUUUUUAUUUUAAAUUUUAGAGCUUUCUAAUUUUAGAUGAAUACAUGAGUAUAUCAAUUUGUUUCUUAUUUCUAUGUGGAAAUUGAUUUAAUCUUUUGGUGUGAAACUGAGAUUUUUUUUUUAAAAAAAAAUUCUUCACUUCUUUGUUCAGUAAUUUCUUUAUAUGUGUCUUGGUUACUUCUUUUAUGUCAUGUAUUUCGUUCCUUCGUAAAUUGACACGCACGAUGCAAGAAUUAUUAAUUUUGUAUGGAUUAUGUAUGAUUUACGAAAUUUGAAUGGAUUAUGUAUGAAUGUUUAAAAGUUAAAGUUUUUUGAUAAUUAAAACAAAAAUAUUCUUUUUACCAAAAAAUAAAUAAAUUCAAAAUUCAUGGGUACUCAUGAAUACCUCAAAACAUGCGGGAUAGUCGUAUAGUGGGUACCCACGCUGGUACAGAGCAUACACUGAUAUCAUAUUUAUCCAACGAAACGGAGACGAGUAUUGUACUAUCUGUAUCCAUGGAUACUCAUUGACAUCCCACUUCAGUCUCUGCAUAUGCAUAUAUAGUGAAUGUUCUUACCUAUUGAACUAUGCUCACAGAAACAACACUAUAUUCUACUAAAAGGCAAACUUUUACAAAUGUUAUAUAUUAUAAUACUAGAAAUUAAAUAAAAAAAUCCAUCAUCUGAAUUUGUAAUACAGUAAAUGUUAUUUUUAUUUUAUCAAUAGUUGUAUUUUAAUUUCUUAAUUAACUCAAUUCUCCUUGAGUUAUACUCCUUAGCAAUACUCUCUAUCAAAAUUAGAUUUACCAUUACAAAUAUGAUUGCUUGUUCAUGCUUCAAGUGAUUUGUUAGACCUUCCAAUGCUGGAUAAUGUGAAAGAGGCACUAAUAACUGAAACAAUGAUGAUUUCUAAAAAAGAAAAACUCAAACAAUAUAUUUAAGUCUUUUCUUACACGUCACACCAAAAUAAUAAGUUUUUUAUUUCAUUUUUACAAAUGAUUACAUACAAUCAUAAGUUAUGCUAAAGUGUUCUCUCUUCUCUUCUCUCUAAAAAAAAGUGUUCUAAAAAGAUUGUUUAAGAAAUUCAUAAAAGUAAAUACAAACCAAAUCACUCGAGUUUCUAUGCAAAUCAAAUAUUUCUCUUAAUCAUAAAUGCACAAGUUUCUAUGCAAAAGUUACUUAAGUUUCUAUACAAAAGUUAUUAUUCUUACUACUUAUUUUAAUUUUGUAAACAAUAUUUUAAGGACACUCGUUAGUAUUUCUUAUAAUUAUAUAGAAAACUCUAUUCACUCGAGUUGGUCUUGUGGUGUUUGACUAGGACAUUAAAGUGUGCUCCUUUCAAGGUCUAUGAUUUGAUUUUUCUUAACAUCAAUUUCGGUGCGUUAAUUUAGGUUUUUCAAUACAUAAAUUAAUAUAUUGAAAUAUGCAACGAUAUUCAUGAUUGCUUGUCAUUUCAUAUAUGUUCUUUUGACAUUAUCUUUCCUAUUUUUGCAUCAAAAUCACAACAAAUUAUCAGUUUUUGUGAGUCUUUAUUUUUUUGUACCAUUCUACCUCACAUUCUUUUCACUAAAUAUUCAUUCUACAGUAUAUACAUGAGUUGGCAAACCCUCGGAAGGUGUGUCUUUAGUAGAAAAGUAACUGUAACUGAAUUUUCUUGUUGCAAUUGCAAUGAGUACAUUUGAAGUUUUUAUAAUCCAUUUACUAACUUACACUCACAAAAAACACGUCUCUUAAUGCAUGAACAUGAGCAUGCCUCAUGUGACUAAUAGUCGUGACUCUCACACCCUUUCAUUUUCUUCUUCACAUAUGGUAAUUUCAAAAGACCUAUUCACUACUAUUUAAACAUUACCAAGUUUCCCAAAUCAAACAUAACAUUGUUUCAUGUUUCCUUCCAUGGAUCCUCCACUUUCUUCCACCGUUCCUCAAGAGGAUUUUCUUAUGUUCCAUCAAAUGGACAGAGACCUCUACAAAAUCCUUGUCACCAACCUUUCUCGUGAUCCAUCUGAGUCCAUGCGAUUGCUUGCUAUGUGGCUUUGGCUGGAAAAAGUUGGUUUUCCUAACGUUGUGAAAAACAUUAUGUCUUUGCCUAUCAUUUUGAUCAAUGAAAUUGUUGAUGAAUCAAUGAUAUGUCUCAGUUGUCUUACCAACAACAACAACGCUUCUGUAAUUGCAAUGUCAUCUUAUGAAGCAAAUGAUAUUCCACUUCUUCAAAGCCUAAUGGAAAAGGAAAUCUCGCUGAAAUUCUUUCUUCAGAAUCGUGUGGAAGCAAUUCGAGGGGUGGAGAAAACAAGAAGAGAAGAUUGUAUGAGUGCAUUGGGUGACAUCAUGCAACAGGCGAUGAUGAGAAACAUAGCGGAUAGAAUGGUGGAGAACAACAGUUUUUUGUUUGGUUCGACUGGACCAAUGAAUCUGCAAUUUGGUUCGGUUGGGAUCGCUGGUGCAAUGGUGCAACAACAGAGCAACAACAAUGGAGGAAGAGGGGGAAUUAUACCGGCAGAUGAUAGGACAUUGUUUGUGACAUUUUCGAAAGGGUAUCGUGUUGAAGAAUGGGAAGUUAAAGAAUUUUUUAGCAUGGCUUAUGGAGAUUGUAUUGAGACUUUGUUUAUGCAAGAAACUCAAGCAAAUGAGCAACCACUUUUCGCUAGAAUUGUUUUUCAUAAGGUGAGUACUAUUGACAUGAUUCUGAGAGGGGCUUCUAAAGUCAAAUUUUCCAUCAAUGGGAAACAUGUGUGGGUGAGAAAGUUUGUUCCGAAAAGAGCAAACACCGGCAGGAUUAUGAUUCCUGGAGAGACUUAUGGUUUUGAUUUUGGAGCUACUAGAUAACCAAGAUUAUAUGAUGUUUAUGUGUUGUGUUAUCGUAUUUAAGGUGGUUUGAGAAUAUUAAUGUUCACAUAAAUAAAAUUAUGUAAUCUGAUGAUAAAAUUAUGUACUAUAAUGGUUUAGAUGAAUAAAUUUGUCAAGUUAAAAAAAUCAAAUCAAAUUUAUAGAAGUUUUUUGACUAAUUAUUGUACAAGUUAAUUGUCGUUCGGGGAUUUAUGAAGAUUUUUGAAGGGGUGCAAGUGCAGCUCGUAUAUCUCUUGACGACUUAACCCCAAAGUUUUACAUUUGGGUGUUGUUAAGUAUUAUAAACACAAUACAUAUAUAUUCUGUUAUUAACAAAGAAAAAUUGAAAUUUCCUUUUAUGAAAUUAGAAGAUUGGUGUUUUGUUACAGUAAGUAAGACAAGGGAUGCACUGGUUUUUACAUAUUUUUUCUUUAUAGAUGGUUCUUACUUUUUACAUCCUCAAAACUAAAAUGCUAAAGUUACAAAAAAAAAAAAAAAAAACAUAUCAAUGA